CGUGCCAGCAGCCGCGGUAAUUCAUAGGUCACAAGCGUUAUCCGGAAUUAUUGGGCGUAAAGCGUUCGUAGGCGGUUUGUUAAGUCUGGAGUUAAAGACUGGGGCUCAACCCCAGCCCGCUCUGGAUACUGGCUGACUAGAGUUACAUAGAGGUAAGUGGAAUUCUUAGUGGAGCGGUGGAAUGCGUAGAUAUUAGGAAGAACACCAAUGGCGAAGGCAGCUUACUGGAUGUACACUGACGCUCAGGGACGAAAGCGUGGGGAGCAAACAGGAUUAGAUACCCUGGUAGUCCACGCCGUAAACGAUGAUCAUUAGCCGCUAGAAUAUUUAGUGGCGCAGCUAACGCAUUAAAUGAUCCGCCUGAGUAGUAUGCUCGCAAGAGUGAAACUUAAAGGAAUUGACGGGGACCCGCACAAGCGGUGGAGCAUGUGGUUUAAUUUGAAGAUACGCGUAGAACCUUACCCACUCUUGACAUCUUCCGCAAUACUAUGGAGACAUAGUGGAGGUUAACGGAAUGACAGAUGGUGCAUGGUUGUCGUCAGCUCGUGCCGUGAGGUGUUAGGUUAAGUCCUGCAACGAGCGCAACCCCUGUCUUUAGUUACUAACGGAUAAUGCCGAGGACUCUAGAGAGACUGACUGGGUAACCAGUAGGAAGGUGGGGACGACGUCAAAUCAUCAUGCCUCUUACGAGUGGGGCAACACAUGUGCUACAAUGGACGGUACAAAGAGAAGCAAUAUGGUGACAUGGAGCAAACCUCAAAAAACCGUUCUCAGUUCGGAUUGAAGUCUGAAACUCGACUUCAUGAAGUUGGAAUCGCUAGUAAUCGUAGAUCAGCUACGCUACGGUGAAUACGUUCUCGGGUCUUGUACACACCGCCCGUC
Molecule: ribosomal RNA, 882 nt
Filed under: uncultured Mycoplasma sp.
Lineage: Bacteria; Bacillati; Mycoplasmatota; Mollicutes; Mycoplasmatales; Mycoplasmataceae
Description: bacterial SSU rRNA
Rfam family: Bacterial small subunit ribosomal RNA
Source: RNAcentral